This 415-nucleotide long non-coding RNA is filed under the name Homo sapiens (human). RNAcentral describes it as "non-protein coding lnc-THOC2-6:1". Lineage: Eukaryota; Metazoa; Chordata; Mammalia; Primates; Hominidae. The record is from RNAcentral.
CACAACAACAAACUCUUUGCUCCUGUCGCCUUAGCUUCUGGCCCUGAUGGCAGUGUGUAUGUUGGCGACUUCAAUUUUGUAAGGAGAAUAUUUCCCUCGGGAAACUCCGUUAGUAUUUUGGAAUUAAGAAACAGAGAUACCAGACAUAGCACAAGUCCUGCUCACAAAUACUAUCUGGCUAUGGACCCUGUGUCUGAAUCACUCUAUCUAUCAGACACCAAUACUCGCAAAGUCUACAAGUUGAAAUCUCUUGUGGAGACGAAAGAUCUGUCCAAGAAUUUUGAAGUGGUGGCAGGAACUGGUGAUCAGUGCCUUCCCUUUGACCAGAGUCAUUGUGGAGAUGGUGGGAGAGCAUCGGAAGCUUCACUGAAUAGCCCUCGAGGCAUCACAGUUGAUAGGCAUGGAUUUAUUUACU